This 29-nucleotide non-coding RNA is filed under the name Mus musculus (house mouse). Lineage: Eukaryota; Metazoa; Chordata; Mammalia; Rodentia; Muridae. The record is from RNAcentral.
UAACAACCUUGUCAUGGUUUUGUUGGGUU